GGCGAACGGGUGAGUAACGCGUGGGUGACCUGCCCCGAAGUCUGGGAUAACAGCUCGAAAGGGCUGCUAAUACCGGAUGUGGUCUUGGAGCUUAGAACUCCCUUUCUAAAGGCGCAAGCCGCUUCGGGAGGGACCUGCGUCCCAUCAGCUGGUUGGUGAGGUAACGGCUCACCAAGGCGACGACGGGUAGGGGGCCUGAGAGGGUGACCCCCCACACUGGCACUGAAACACGGGCCAGACACCUACGGGUGGCAGCAGUAGGGAAUAUUGCACAAUGGGCGCAAGCCUGAUGCAGCAACGCCGCGUGCGCGAUGAAGGCCUUCGGGUCGUAAAGCGCUUUUCUGGAGGACGAGGAAGGACGGUACUCCAGGAAGAAGGCUCGGCUAACUACGUGCCAGCAGCCACGGUAAAACGUAGGAGCCUAGCGUUAUCCGAAUUUACUGGGCGUAAAGCGCAUGUCGGCGGCUGGGUAAGUUGGCUGUGAAAUCUCCCGGCUCAACUGGGAGAGGCCGGUCAAGACUGCCUGGCUGGAGGCUGGUAGAGGGAGGUGGAAUUCCCGGUGUAGUGGUGAAAUGCGUAGAUAUCGGGAGGAACACCAGUGGCGAAAGCGGCCUCCUGGACCAGACCUGACGCUCAGAUGCGAAA
RNAcentral lists this ribosomal RNA (645 nucleotides) under uncultured bacterium. RNAcentral describes it as "bacterial SSU rRNA". It matches the Rfam family "Bacterial small subunit ribosomal RNA", at positions 97 to 758 of the family's 1533-position model. The record is from RNAcentral.